RNAcentral lists this ribosomal RNA (439 nucleotides) under uncultured bacterium. Its description in RNAcentral is "partial 16S ribosomal RNA". It matches the Rfam family "Bacterial small subunit ribosomal RNA", at positions 339 to 795 of the family's 1533-position model. The record is from RNAcentral.
CUACGGGUCGCUGCAGUGAGGAAUAUUGCACAAUGGGGGGGACCCUGAUGCAGCAACGCCGCGUGGAGGAUGACGCAUUUCGGUGUGUAAACUCCUUUUAUAUGUCAAGAAAAUGACGGUAGCAUAUGAAUAAGCACCGGCUAACUCCGUGCCAGCAGCCGCGGUAAUACGGAGGGUGCAAGCGUUACUCGGAAUCACUGGGCGUAAAGGACGCGUAGGCGGAUUGGAAAGUCAGGUGUGAAAUCCUACAGCUUAACUGUAGAACUGCACUUGAAACUUCUAAUCUAGAGUAUGGGAGGGGGAGAUGGAAUUAGUGGUGUAGGGGUAAAAUCCGUAGAUAUCACUAGGAAUACCUAAAGCGAAGGCGAUCUCCUGGAACAUUACUGACGCUAAGGCGUGAAAGCGUGGGGAGCAAACAGGAUUAGAUACCCCUGUAGUC